CCUACGGGAUGCAGCAGUAGGGAAUCUUCGGCAAUGGACGAAAGUCUGACCGAGCAACGCCGCGUGAGUGAAGAAGGUUUUCGGAUCGUAAAACUCCGUUGUUAGAGAAGAACAAGGACGUUAGUAACUGAACGUCCCCUGACGGUAUCUAACCAGAAAGCCACGGCUAACUACGUGCCAGCAGCCGCGGUAAUACGUAGGUGGCAAGCGUUGUCCGGAUUUAUUGGGCGUAAAGCGAGCGCAGGCGGUUUCUUAAGUCUGAUGUGAAAGCCCCCGGCUCAACCGGGGAGGGUCAUUGGAAACUGGGAGACUUGAGUACAGAAGAGGAGAGUGGAAUUCCAUGUGUAGCGGUGAAAUGCGUAGAUAUAUGGAGGAACACCAGUGGCGAAGGCGGCUCUCUGGUCUGUAACUGACGCUGAGGCUCGAAAGCGUGGGGAGCAAACAGGAUUAGAUACCCCUGUAGUC
Molecule: ribosomal RNA, 465 nt
Filed under: uncultured bacterium
Lineage: Bacteria
Description: bacterial SSU rRNA
Rfam family: Bacterial small subunit ribosomal RNA
Source: RNAcentral